CAUGCAGUGGCGAUUACACAACACUGGCUCUGGAGUCUGAAUUCGGGUUUAAAGAUCACAGGCUUGGAGAGUCCUGGGGGUGUGACCUUUAUGAUAAGAUGACAGGUUUCGACAUAGGAAACCUGAGUGGCGGCUGGAAGAGAGUAAGGAAUCUGAACAGAGGCGGGCUGGGGAGCUGUCUCCGCUGGUAAAGAGUUGCCAUGCUAGCCUGAGUUCCAGGUCAACCAGGGCUACCUGGCAUGACUCUGUCUCAAGGAUAAAGUAGGGGCCUGGGGAGAUGGCUCAAUGGUUGAAGAAUUGCCAAGCAAGUGUGAGGACUGGAGUUUAGAGCCCCAGACUUCCUGCAAAUGCUGAGUGUGACAGCCCAACUCCGACUCAGUAGGUGGAGAAGGGAUCCACAGAGCAAGCUGGCUGAAAAGAUUAGGGUUUGAUUAAAAGACCCUGCCUCAGUGAAGAAGGCGGAAGAGCAAUACUGGAAUCCACAUGAUUUGCUACAUGAGGAGAUUUCAAGCUGCCUAUUAAAAUCACAAGCUGGGUCAGGCACGGUGGCGCCUACCUUUUAUGCCAGCACUCGGAGUCAGAGGCAGGUGGAUCUCUGUGAGUUCCUCACCACCCUGAUCUACAUGAGAUGGAACCCACUAAGCUCCUCCAACCCCUGGGGGAAAUCCUCCUUACAUCUGGGGGACCACCAAGGUCCUACUUCAAUUUAGUGUGGAGUGCCAGCAGGGCAUGGAGGUUUGUCACAGCUCCUUUGGGGGCGUCAGAUGCAGAGCUGAGAUGGAAACCACAGUCCCAAGGAGCAACUACAGGCCACAUGCGCAUGCCCACAGAAACCAGAAGUCACAGGAUCAGCUGUAAUUGGAGUUACAGAUGGUUAUGAACCACAAUGUGGGUGCUGAGAAUCGAAUCAAGCCCUCUGGAAGAGCAACUGGGGUUCCUAACCACUGAGCCAUUUCUCCAGCCGCCAUCCUUGAACUAGCAGCUAUGCAGCUGACUGGACUGGACUGACCCUGGACUGAUUCUCCUGCCUUUAUCUUCCAAACGUGAGGAUUACAGGUGUGAACCAUUA
This is a long non-coding RNA of Psammomys obesus (fat sand rat), 1069 nucleotides long. RefSeq lists it as uncharacterized. The record is from RefSeq and is a predicted model, not a curated record. The transcript has 3 exons. Lineage: Eukaryota; Metazoa; Chordata; Mammalia; Rodentia; Muridae.